GAUGAACGCUGGCGGCGUGCCUAAUACAUGCAAGUCGAGCGAACGGACGAGAAGCUUGCUUCUCUGAUGUUAGCGGCGGACGGGUGAGUAACACGUGGAUAACCUACCUAUAAGACUGGGAUAACUUCGGGAAACCGGAGCUAAUACCGGAUAAUAUUUUGAACCGCAUGGUUCAAAAGUGAAAGACGGUCUUGCUGUCACUUAUAGAUGGAUCCGCGCUGCAUUAGCUAGUUGGUAAGGUAACGGCUUACCAAGGCAACGAUGCAUAGCCGACCUGAGAGGGUGAUCGGCCACACUGGAACUGAGACACGGUCCAGACUCCUACGGGAGGCAGCAGUAGGGAAUCUUCCGCAAUGAGCGAAAGCCUGACGGAGCAACGCCGCGUGAGUGAUGAAGGUCUUCGGAUCGUAAAACUCUGUUAUUAGGGAAGAACAUAUGUGUAAGUAACUGUGCACAUCUUGACGGUACCUAAUCAGAAAGCCACGGCUAACUACGUG
Molecule: ribosomal RNA, 497 nt
Filed under: uncultured bacterium
Lineage: Bacteria
Description: partial 16S ribosomal RNA
Rfam family: Bacterial small subunit ribosomal RNA
Source: RNAcentral